UAGAGUUUUUUCCUGGCUCAGGAUGAACGCUAGCUACAGGCUUAACACAUGCAAGUCGAGGGGCAGCAUGAGAGGACUUCGGUCCUUUCGAUGGCGACCGGCGAAUGGGUGAGUAACACGUAUCCAACCUGCCCCUGACCGGGGGAUAGCCCUCCGAAAGGAGAAUUAACACCCCAUGGGUGUCCGUGCGGCAUCGCGCGGCCAUGAAAGGUUACGGUCAGGGAUGGGGAUGCGUCCGAUUAGCUUGCUGGCGGGGUAACGGCCCACCAGGGCGUCGAUCGGUAGGGGUUCUGAGAGGAAGGUCCCCCACACUGGAACUGAGACACGGUCCAGACUCCUACGGGAGGCAGCAGUGAGGAAUAUUGGUCAAUGGGCGGAAGCCUGAACCAGCCAAGUAGCGUGAAGGAUGACGGCCCUACGGGUUGUAAACUUCUUUUAUGCGGGAACAAAAUGCGCCACGCGUGGCGUUUUGCGCGUACCGCAGGAAAAAGCACCGGCUAAUUCCGUGCCAGCAGCCGCGGUAAUACGGAAGGUGCGAGCGUUAUCCGGAUUCAUUGGGUUUAAAGGGAGCGUAGGCGGAGCGCCAAGUCAGCUGUGAAAUCCCGCGGCUCAACCGUGGAACUGCAGUUGAAACUGGCGCCCUUGAGUGCACAUGAGGAUGGUGGAAUUCGUGGUGUAGCGGUGAAAUGCUUAGAUAUCACGAAGAACUCCGAUUGCGAAGGCAGCUGUCUGGGGUGCCACUGACGCUGAGGCUCGAAAGUGCGGGUAUCAAACAGGAUUAGAUACCCUGGUAGUCCGCACAGUAAACG
This 809-nucleotide ribosomal RNA is filed under the name uncultured bacterium. Its description in RNAcentral is "bacterial SSU rRNA". It matches the Rfam family "Bacterial small subunit ribosomal RNA", at positions 1 to 808 of the family's 1533-position model. The record is from RNAcentral.